Molecule: long non-coding RNA, 146 nt
Organism: Rattus rattus (black rat)
Lineage: Eukaryota; Metazoa; Chordata; Mammalia; Rodentia; Muridae
Exons: 2
Source: RefSeq, a predicted model, not a curated record
CGGGGGAGGGGGACCGGGGGAGGCGGGGCCUUCUCGGCCCUUGGCGCUGCUCCCCCGAGGCACCUGCGGAGUUGUACGUUCUCCGGUAGCAGUGCUGCGUGACGACGUGGGAAGAAGUCACAGAGAUCCUGUUAUAGACGUUCCAA